RNAcentral lists this ribosomal RNA (408 nucleotides) under uncultured bacterium. RNAcentral describes it as "partial 16S ribosomal RNA". It matches the Rfam family "Bacterial small subunit ribosomal RNA", at positions 29 to 526 of the family's 1533-position model. The record is from RNAcentral.
AGUGAACGCUGGCGGCGUGCCUAAUACAUGCAAGUCGAACGGAGUGGCGCACGGGUGAGUAAUAUAUAGCUAAUCUGCCCCUUGCUGGAGGACAACAGUUAGAAAUGACUGCUAAUACCGCAUACUGAAGGAGGGGAUUGCGUCUGAUUAGCUAGUUGGAGGGGUAACGGCCCACCAAGGCGAUGAUCAGUAGCCGGUGUGAGAGGAUGAUCAGUCACAUUGGAACUGAGACACGGUCCAAACUCCUACGGGAGGCAGCAGUAGGGAAUAGUGCGCAAUGGGGGAAACCCUGACGCAGCAACGCCGCGUGGAGGAUGACACUUUUCGGAGCGUAAACUCCUUUUGUUAGGGAAGCGGUACCUAACGAAUAAGCACCGGCUAACUCCGUGCCAGCAGCCGCGGUAAUAC